GUGCUCGCUUCAGCCCACAGAUACCAAAAUUGGAAUGAUACAGAGAGGAUUAGCAUGGCCUCUGCGCAAGUAUGGCACACAAAUUCAGGAAGCAUUCCAUAUUUUA
Molecule: small nuclear RNA, 106 nt
Organism: Sapajus apella (tufted capuchin)
Lineage: Eukaryota; Metazoa; Chordata; Mammalia; Primates; Cebidae
Source: RefSeq, a predicted model, not a curated record